RNAcentral lists this ribosomal RNA (497 nucleotides) under uncultured bacterium. Its description in RNAcentral is "partial 16S ribosomal RNA". It matches the Rfam family "Bacterial small subunit ribosomal RNA", at positions 28 to 507 of the family's 1533-position model. The record is from RNAcentral.
GAUGAACGCUGGCGGCGUGCCUAAUACAUGCAAGUCGAGCGAACAGACGAGGAGCUUGCUCCUCUGACGUUAGCGGCGGACGGGUGAGUAACACGUGGAUAACCUACCUAUAAGACUGGGAUAACUUCGGGAAACCGGAGCUAAUCCCGUAUAAUAUAUUGAACCGCAUGGUUCAAUAGUGAAAGACGGUUUUGCUGUCACUUAUAGAUGGAUCCGCGCCGCAUUAGCUAGUUGGUAAGGUAACGGCUUACCAAGGCAACGAUGCGUAGCCGACCUGAGAGGGUGAUAGGCCACACUGGAACUGGAACACGGUCAAGACUCCUACGGGAGGCAGCAGUAGGGAAUCUUCCGCAAUGGGCGAAAGCAUGACGGAGCAACGCCGCGUGAGUGAUGAAGGUCUUCGGAUCGUAAAACUCUGUUAUUAGGGAAGAACAAAUGUGUAAGUAACUAUGCACGUCUUGACGGUACCUAAUCAGAAAGCCACGGCUAACUACGUG